UACAGAGGGUGCGAGCGUUAAUCGGAAUUACUGGGCGUAAAGCGUGCGUAGACGGUCAAGUAAGUCGGGUGUGAAAGCCCCGGGCUCAACCUGGGAAUUGCAUUCGAGACUGCGUGGCUAGGGUGCGGAAGAGGGAAGCGGAAUUUCCGGUGUAGCGGUGAAAUGCGUAGAUAUCGGAAGGAACACCAGUGGCGAAAGCGGCUUCCUGGCCUGUUCUUGACGCUGAGGCGCGAAAGCUAGGGGAGCAAACGGG
Molecule: ribosomal RNA, 253 nt
Filed under: uncultured bacterium
Lineage: Bacteria
Description: partial 16S ribosomal RNA
Rfam family: Bacterial small subunit ribosomal RNA
Source: RNAcentral